Molecule: small nuclear RNA, 107 nt
Filed under: Piliocolobus tephrosceles (Ugandan red Colobus)
Lineage: Eukaryota; Metazoa; Chordata; Mammalia; Primates; Cercopithecidae
Source: RNAcentral
GUGCUCGCUUCGGCAGCACAUAUACUAAAAUUGAAAUUGUUCAGAGAAGAUUAGCAUGGCCCCUGCACAAGGAUGACACGCAAAUUCGUGAAGCAUUCUAUAUUUUU